Molecule: ribosomal RNA, 253 nt
Filed under: uncultured bacterium
Lineage: Bacteria
Description: partial 16S ribosomal RNA
Rfam family: Bacterial small subunit ribosomal RNA
Source: RNAcentral
UACGAAGGGGGCUAGCGUUGCUCGGAAUCACUGGGUGUAAAGCGCACGUAGGCGGAUUUGUCAGUCAGGGGUGAAAUCCCGGGGCUCAACCUCGGAACUGCCUUUGAUACAGCAAGUCUUGAGUUCGAGAGAGGUGGGUGGAAUUCCUAGUGUAGAGGUGAAAUUCGUAGAUAUUAGGAAGAACACCGGUGGCGAAGGCGGCCCACUGGCUCGAUACUGACGCUGAGGUGCGAAAGCGUGGGGAGCAAACAGG